CAGGAAGAUGCUAACUUCCGGGUAAACCGAUCCAACCCGCCACCACGCAUGCGCACCGUGUCGGACUGGGCUCGUUGGACGCCAACAGAUUGAGGCGUCGGCUGUGUCUCGCGAUCUUUAAUCUGUAAAGAUUUAAUCUAUAAUCUAUAACCACACGGACACUUUUCGUCAGUUAGCCGACAUGAAGUGUCACUUUCCUUCCAACAUGUCGACCUGCCGCUCGCGUCGCUGCCGGUUCUGGACGUUUUCAAACGGAUUCAUGUCGCAGAAGUUCGGCUGGAAAGCGAGAAAAGUGAGACUUCGCCUCUCGGACUCGGACACUCGGUCUGUUCCGUGAAGAUUAGGUUUUUUUCACGUAGUUUUGGAAGCUGCGUUCAGGUGUGUGUGUGUGUGUGUUUCUGCCUCGGGGGUUAAAACGUCUUUCGGAGCUGAACCCGUCAGUUAACCGCGGAGGAGCGACCCGGUCACUUCCGGUGAGCAGGUGACUCUUCUCCCUCUGCGGGGUAUAACAACCAGGUGUGUCUGCUGUUCAUUCACAGACUGACAGGCAGCUCUCUCCAUCCCGGAAUGGACUGCUACAACUCUUCCGAUCCAGCUGCAGUGAACGCCACCAUAGUGUACGACUACAAUGACCACCAGGGAGAUUUGUGGAGCAGAAAUAUUGAGGAUGUUCAGGAUCAGCCUCUCCUCCACUGUUCCUCGACCUCCCUCCCUCUUGAGACGCAGUGCACCGUCUGUCUCAACCAGAUCGUGUACGCCGUCUGCCACAAACUGAAAGACGGUGUGGUUCUGACGAUGGAGGCUCUAGAACGCCACAUCAAAAUCUCCAAGAGCGACUGCCCCAAACUUCUCUCUGACGCUCCUCCACAGUGGCCUCUGGUCCUCCUCGUCGCCCUCCUCGUGCUGGUCCUCCUCAUCUUUGCGGUGUGUUUCUAUCAGAGACAGAAAAGACAGAGAACCCGGACGCCUCAGAAAGCCGGGUCACGUUCCCUCACUGACGUGCAGCAAGAAGCUCCGCUGACGGCCACAUCUUAACUUCUCUAAAGUUGAUAAGAUGAUGAAAUAAAAUCACAAACAGAUGUAAAUAAACUUUUUAAUUGUCAAUCCAAAAAGUGAACUGUGAGCUCGUGUGAUAUCUUCCAGAUCUGCAGUCGCUGAUAAAAUCUUUCUUCCUUUUUCUUUGACAAACACAUCGUCACCUUUUACCGAGUUAAUGCAGUUCAUAGGAAACAAAUCAGGAACUAAAUGUACAGAGAGUCUACUGACGUCCCAACGCUGUCCUCAUCCAUUCACUCUUUAAUGCGGCCAGACCCAGUUUGUGACAAACUGAGACUGAUAUGACUUGAACAUUUUCUGUCUCUCUCCAACACAGUUUUCUGACAUAGAGAGCUGAAGCCCCGCCCCUUCCUGUUCCCCUCCUGGUACCUUAUGGUUUGAAUUGUGUUAUGAAUCACACACGAUAAAAUAUGAAACUGAAAAUACGUGGUUAUAACAGCAUCACAGCUGACAGCUGUUGCAGUUGUCAAUAUGAGCAGAUUUAUCGUGACAUCCAUCUUUUUUGGAACCUUUUCUGGCCCAGUUGGCUCCAUGAUGAGACGGUGUAGUUCAGAGCUUUAACACAAAACUACAUGAGGUUUGACUGUAACUCCAUCAUGUGUGAUAUUCAUGACCCAGUUCAGACCGGAUCAGUACUUUGUCAUCUCUCUUCAGUCACUACAGACAAUGAUUUUCCAAAAUAGGUCCAGUGGGUUUCACGGGACAGGACGAGACUUUGGCUCUCUAUUCUGACUCUUCAGUAACUGUCCCACCAUUUUACACAGUCAAAGGGGACGACUCAUACUUUGCUACCGGAAGUUUGAAGUUUGCAAACACAAUAAACGAUGUUUGCUUUAUUGAAAGUUUCAACCACAAUGUCUCACUUUGUGUCGUUCGGGUCUUUCCAUCUGUAGCUACGUAACUUCUUUCGCCCCUCAGCGAGGAUCAGACAGCUGAAUGAAAUGUGUCAGGAGAGGGUUGACAUCUUCACAGCUGCAGGGGUCAGACACUUCUUCCUCCCGCAGCUUCCUUGGUAGUCUUUCACAUUUCGAGUCAAGAGUGAGACACCAAGAUGAUGAUGAUGAUGAUGAUGAUGAUGAUGAUGAUUACAAUAAAAAGAGGUGACAAUGAGCGAUCAGCAGUGUCAUGUAGAAGAAACCACAGCGAGGAGGUGACUUCUGAGGUGAGAACAGGAAAUGGCAAAGUUUUUUUUUUCUUUUUUUCUCACUUUGCUUGGGUAUUUCUAUGUUCUUUUACUUUUUACUUCCAUGAAAAUGCAAAAUAUUGGUUGUGAUAAUAACACUCAGUAUAAAGUAGAUACUCUGAUCUUCACUUUGACCAAAGUAAUAUCUUAACACGACAUCUUUACAUUCACUCACGUAUGACUUUAUGACUGAAAUCUGUGGUGGAAUAAAAACAAUUACAUUUGCUUCAGUAUAAUUUUGGAAUAUUACAGUAGUCGAGUAUUUAUGAUU
This 2510-nucleotide long non-coding RNA is filed under the name Sparus aurata (gilthead seabream). RNAcentral's name for it is "lncRNA (ENSSAUG00010012551.1)". The record is from RNAcentral. Lineage: Eukaryota; Metazoa; Chordata; Actinopteri; Spariformes; Sparidae.